RNAcentral lists this ribosomal RNA (253 nucleotides) under uncultured bacterium. RNAcentral describes it as "partial 16S ribosomal RNA". It matches the Rfam family "Bacterial small subunit ribosomal RNA", at positions 524 to 776 of the family's 1533-position model. The record is from RNAcentral.
UACGUAGGGAGCAAGCGUUGUCCGGAAUCAUUGGGCGUAAAGCGCGCGUAGGCGGCUCUGUAAGUCCGUUGUGAAAGUCAAAGGCUCAACCUUUGAAAGCCGAUGGAUACUGCAGGGCUAGAGUCCGGAAGAGGCGAGUGGAAUUCCUGGUGUAGCGGUGGAAUGCGCAGAUAUCAGGAGGAACACCAAUAGCGAAGGCAGCUCGCUGGGACGGUACUGACGCUAAGGCGCGAAAGCGUGGGGAGCGAACAGG